AGCCUACGGGGGGCAGCAGUGAGGGAUAUUGGUCAAUGGGGGAAACCCUGAACCAGCAACGCCGCGUGAGGGAAGACGGUUUUCGGAUUGUAAACCUCUGUCCUCUGUGAAGAUAAUGACGGUAGCAGAGGAGGAAGCUCCGGCUAACUACGUGCCAGCAGCCGCGGUAAUACGUAGGUGGCAAGCGUUAUCCGGAUUUACUGGGUGUAAAGGGCGUGUAGGCGGGGAAGCAAGUCAGAUGUGAAAUUCCAGGGCUCAACCCUGGAACUGCAUUUGAAACUGUUUUUCUUGAGUGAUGGAGAGGC
RNAcentral lists this ribosomal RNA (305 nucleotides) under uncultured bacterium. Its description in RNAcentral is "bacterial SSU rRNA". It matches the Rfam family "Bacterial small subunit ribosomal RNA", at positions 335 to 658 of the family's 1533-position model. The record is from RNAcentral.